CCUACGGGAGGCAGCAGUGGGGAAUAUUGGGCAAUGGGCGCAAGCCUGACCCAGCAACGCCGCGUGAAGGAAGAAGGCUUUCGGGUUGUAAACUUCUUUUCUCAGGGACGAAGCAAGUGACGGUCCCUGCUGAAUAAGCCACGGCUACCUACGUGCCAGCAGCGGCGGUAAUACGUAGGUGGCAAGCGUUAUCCGGAUUUACUGGGUGUAAAGGGCGUGUAGGCGGGGAGGCAAGUCAGAUGUGAAAACCACGGGCUCAACCUGGGGCCUGCAUUUGAAACUGUGUUGCUGGAGUACGGGAGAGGCAGACGGAAUGCCUGGUGUAGCGGUGAAAUGCGUAGAUAUUAGGAGGAACACCAGUGGCGAAGGCGGUCUGCUGGACAGCAACUGACGCUGAGGCGCGAAAGCGUGGGGAGCAAACAGGAUUAGAUACCCGAGUAGUC
This 443-nucleotide ribosomal RNA is filed under the name uncultured bacterium. RNAcentral describes it as "partial 16S ribosomal RNA". It matches the Rfam family "Bacterial small subunit ribosomal RNA", at positions 338 to 795 of the family's 1533-position model. The record is from RNAcentral.